UAUCCUUCUGUAUUACAUCCU
This is a non-coding RNA of Caenorhabditis elegans, 21 nucleotides long. The record is from Ensembl. NCBI's taxonomy places the organism in Eukaryota, Metazoa, Nematoda, Chromadorea, Rhabditida, Rhabditidae.